This 67-nucleotide transfer RNA is filed under the name Echyridella menziesii. Its description in RNAcentral is "tRNA-Cys". Lineage: Eukaryota; Metazoa; Mollusca; Bivalvia; Unionida; Hyriidae. The record is from RNAcentral.
UAUCUUGUAGUAUAUAAAAUUACUGUAAACUGCAAAUUUACUAAAGCCUAACCACAGGCCAAGAUGU